RNAcentral lists this ribosomal RNA (497 nucleotides) under uncultured bacterium. RNAcentral describes it as "partial 16S ribosomal RNA". It matches the Rfam family "Bacterial small subunit ribosomal RNA", at positions 28 to 507 of the family's 1533-position model. The record is from RNAcentral.
GAUGAACGCUGGCGGCGUGCCUAAUACAUGCGAGUCGAGCGAACAGACGAGGAGCUUGCUCCUCUGACGUUAGCGGCGGGCGGGUGAGUAACACGUGGAUAACCUACCUAUAAGACUGGGAUAACUUCGGGAAACCGGAGCUAAUACCGGAUAAUAUAUUGAACCGCAUGGUUCAAUAGUGAAAGACGGUUUUGCUGUCACUUAUAGAUGGAUCCGCGCCGCAUUAGCUAGUUGGUAAGGUAACGGCUUACCAAGGCAACGAUGCGUAGCCGACCGGAGAGGGUGAUCGGCCACACUGGAACUGAGACACGGUCCAGACUCCUACGGGAGGCAGCAGUAGGGAAUCUUCCGCAAUGGGCGAAAGCUUGACGGAGCAACGCCGCGUGAGUGAUGAAGGUCUUCGGAUCGUAAAACUCUGUUAUUAGGGAAGAACAAAUGUGUAAGUAACUAUGCACGUCUUGACGGUACCUAAUCAGAAAGCCACGGCUAACUACGUG